RNAcentral lists this ribosomal RNA (714 nucleotides) under Triticum aestivum (bread wheat). RNAcentral describes it as "partial small subunit ribosomal RNA". Lineage: Eukaryota; Viridiplantae; Streptophyta; Magnoliopsida; Poales; Poaceae. The record is from RNAcentral.
AUGAUUCGUUGUUGUGGCUUAACACUGCCUCUGCCGGUCCCAAGCCCGGAUGUGAAAAUGUGGAGGGAGUCUGUUUUUGGUGUGCAAGUGCUACGUUGUGUGUGUGAUGUGUCCGUAUCUAUGUCUGUUUCUUUUGUCUUGAUUGUGUGCAAGUGCUUGAUUAAGCCGAUGAGCCAUACAAUGAAGCUAUGGGAGAGAGUCAUUGAGCACCGCUUAAGAAGAAUGACAAGCGUGACCAAAAAUCAGUUUGGUUUCAUGCCUGGGAGGUCGACCAUGGAAGCCAUUUUCUUGGUACGACAACUUAUGGAGAGAUAUAGGGAGCAUAAGAAGGACUUGCAUAUGGUGUUCAUUGACUUGGAGAAGGCCUAUGAUAAGAUACCGCGGAAUGUCAUGUGGUGGGCCUUGGAGAAACACAAAGUCCCAGCAAAGUACAUUACCCUCAUCAAGGACAUGUACAAUAAUGUUGUGACAAGUGUUCGAACAAGUGAUGUCGACACCGAUGACUUCCCGAUUAAGAUAGGACUGCAUCAGGGGUCAGCUUUGAGCCCUUAUCUUUUUGCAUUGGUGAUGGAUGAGGUCACAAGGGGUAUACAAGGAGAUAUCCCAUGGUGUAUGCUCUUUGCGGAUGAUGUGGUGCUAGUUGACGAUAGUCGGACGGGGGUAAAUAGGAAGUUAGAGUUAUGGAGACAAACCUUGGAAUCGAAAGGGGCUUAG